RNAcentral lists this ribosomal RNA (434 nucleotides) under uncultured Bacteroides sp. RNAcentral's name for it is "bacterial SSU rRNA". It matches the Rfam family "Bacterial small subunit ribosomal RNA", at positions 450 to 886 of the family's 1533-position model. The record is from RNAcentral. Lineage: Bacteria; Pseudomonadati; Bacteroidota; Bacteroidia; Bacteroidales; Bacteroidaceae.
GUGAGGGACGUGUCCCUUUUUGUAUGUACCUUACGAAUAAAGAACGGCUAACUCCGUGCCAUCACCCGCGGUAAUACGGAGGAUCCAAGCGUUAUCCGGAUUUAUUGGGUUUAAAGGGAGCGUAGGUUGACAUAUAAGUCAGCUGUGAAAGUUUACGGCUCAACCGUGAAAUUGCAGUUGAUACUGUAUGUCUUGAGUGUACAAGAGGUGGGCGGAAUUCGUGGUGUAGCGGUGAAAUGCUUACAUAUCACGAAGAACUCCAAUUGCGAAGGCAGCUCACUGGGGUACAACUGACACUGAGGCUCGAAAGUGUGGGUAUCAAACAGGAUUAGAUACCCUGGUAGUCCACACAGUAAACGAUGAAUACUCGCUGUUUGCGAUAUACAGUAAGCGGCCAAGCGAAAGCAUUAAGUAUUCCACCUGGGGAGUACGCC